CUGCACUCGACUACAUGAAGACGGAAUUGGUAGUAAUGGCGAGUCAGCAACAUCGCCGUGAAUACGUUCCCGGGGCUUGGACACACCGCCCGUCACAUCAUGGGAGUUGGUUUUACCCGAAGCCGCUGAAUUAACCGCAAGGAGA
This 145-nucleotide ribosomal RNA is filed under the name uncultured Parachlamydia sp. RNAcentral's name for it is "partial 16S rRNA". It matches the Rfam family "Bacterial small subunit ribosomal RNA", at positions 1305 to 1449 of the family's 1533-position model. The record is from RNAcentral. Lineage: Bacteria; Pseudomonadati; Chlamydiota; Chlamydiia; Parachlamydiales; Parachlamydiaceae.